Long non-coding RNA from Vicia villosa (hairy vetch), 593 nucleotides. RefSeq lists it as uncharacterized. The record is from RefSeq and is a predicted model, not a curated record. Lineage: Eukaryota; Viridiplantae; Streptophyta; Magnoliopsida; Fabales; Fabaceae. The transcript is spliced from 3 exons.
CACACUUUCCUCAAUUCUCUCUCCCGUUCUGACGUUCUCUUUCUUCCCUCUCUACCCGCUCAAACCCUAACACCUCUUCACCCUCUUUCUCCCUCAUAUCUAUGGUCACCACCACCUCCAAUGAAAAAAUAAAUUCCAUAUUCGUAUUCUUCAUCUCACGAGCUUCCUAAUGAACCGGUUAGAUUUUUGUUUCGAUGAGUUUCAAAAAGUAGUCAUGUUCUAUUUUCUGGAAAAUAAAUAAAUCUAAGUGAAUACACUAGCAUAGUUACUUCCAGAAGUGGAUACAUCUUUGAAGGACUAUGCAGAAAAAAUUUCAGCUUCUAUUUCAUGACGAUCGACUUUGUUCGCAGUUUCCGGAAAAACGAUAUGGGAAGUGCUUCAUUGUGGUCGACAUUGUCAUGGUGAUAGAGCUACAACAUCUGCUGCAUCAUUGGACUAAAACUUAGAAAGGGGUCAAACGAGUGAUAGAACGUAAUUUCAUUUAUUGGAUACCUUCUUUGCUACUUUUUUUCCAAUGUUCUUGUAUCCUUCAUAGGUUAAUAAGUUAAUGAUAAAAUUUGCAUUAUUUAAUUGUAGUUAGUCUUUAUAAUUGG